AUGCUUACUUUGGCAGCACAUAUACUAAAAUUUGAACCAUACAGAGAAGAAUAGCAUGGCCCCUGUGCAAAGAUGACAUGCAAUGUAACCUGUAUACCUCUAACUGUUU
RNAcentral lists this small nuclear RNA (109 nucleotides) under Propithecus coquereli (Coquerel's sifaka). Lineage: Eukaryota; Metazoa; Chordata; Mammalia; Primates; Indriidae. The record is from RNAcentral.